UCAUAGUACGUGAAACCGUUCAGGGGUAAACGGGAGGGAUCCGGAAGGUCGAACGGGGAGAUUCAAUCCUGUCCGCUCGUCGGCACCCGAUCCGCGAUUCCGGAUGUCGUCGGCCGCCGGCCACACCGCAAGGUGCGAGCCGCGUUAGGUCGUCGGCACCGGCCGGUCGGGGUCGUUUCGGCGGCGGCGGGCUGCACUUCUCUCCCGGUAGGACGUCGCGACCCGUUGGACGAGGGGUCUAAGGCCCGGGGUGGAGUCCGAGGGGAUCGCCGAGGAAUCUCGGGUUCACGUUCCCCCGGACCCCCGGUCGCCCGGCCCCGGUUCGACGGUACGAGAUGUGGAGAUGGCCCGCUCUCUUGCGAGCGUCCGGCCCGGUGGGCAAGCUCCGUGGGUUUUCGCUUGGCUAGUGCCGCGGCUAACGCCGCGUCCCAGCCGCCCGCGGGCUGCUGGUCUCCGGAGUCCUCGGACAGCUUUGGCCUUUUCUCCCGUCAGCGGCGCUAUUGCUUCGGAUGCCUUCCCGACCCGUCUUGAAACACGGACAAAGGA
RNAcentral lists this ribosomal RNA (546 nucleotides) under Tenodera australasiae. Its description in RNAcentral is "eukaryotic LSU rRNA". Lineage: Eukaryota; Metazoa; Arthropoda; Insecta; Mantodea; Mantidae. The record is from RNAcentral.